Molecule: non-coding RNA, 23 nt
Filed under: Arabidopsis thaliana (thale cress)
Lineage: Eukaryota; Viridiplantae; Streptophyta; Magnoliopsida; Brassicales; Brassicaceae
Source: RNAcentral
GGACAACAAUGGAGAUGUGGAGA